AUUGUGUACUUAUGGAUGUUCGAGGCAUUUUUUGUGAGUCUGCCUUUCUGCCAUUAAGUUGGUGGGUUGGUGGGUUUGCAUCGUUUACUGUGAAAAAUUUAGAGUGUUUAAAGCAGGCGUUUGCUCAUUUGAAUACAUUAGCAUGGAAUAAUAAGAUACGGCCUUGGUGGUCUAUUUUGUUGGUUUGCACACCACGGUAAUGAUUAAUAGGGACAGUUGGGGAAAGUCACUCGCACUAGAGUCAAGGCCAUGAAGCCUUAAUGAAUCGAAAGCCUUUUUCGAUAACGAUCGCUUA
This 295-nucleotide non-coding RNA is filed under the name Hyaloperonospora arabidopsidis Emoy2. Its description in RNAcentral is "Eukaryotic small subunit ribosomal RNA". It matches the Rfam family "Eukaryotic small subunit ribosomal RNA", at positions 668 to 974 of the family's 1831-position model. The record is from Rfam by way of RNAcentral. Lineage: Eukaryota; Oomycota; Peronosporomycetes; Peronosporales; Peronosporaceae.